Molecule: ribosomal RNA, 460 nt
Filed under: uncultured bacterium
Lineage: Bacteria
Description: partial 16S ribosomal RNA
Rfam family: Bacterial small subunit ribosomal RNA
Source: RNAcentral
CCUACGGGAGGCAGCAGUGAGGAAUAUUGGUCAAUGGGCGCGAGCCUGAACCAGCCAAGUAGCGUGAAGGAUGACUGCCCUACGGGUUGUAAACUUCUUUUAUAAAGGAAUAAAGUGAGGCACGUGUGCCUUUUUGUAUGUACUUUAUGAAUAAGGAUCGGCUAACUCCGUGCCAGCAGCCGCGGUAAUACGGAGGAUCCGAGCGUUAUCCGGAUUUAUUGGGUUUAAAGGGAGCGUAGAUGGGUUGUUAAGUCAGUUGUGAAAGUUUGCGGCUCAAACGUAAAAUUGCAAUUGAUACUGGCAGCCGUGAGUACAGUUGAGGUAGGCGGAAUUCGUGGUGUAGCGGUGAAAUGCUUAGAUAUCACGAAGAACUCCGAUUGCGAAGGCAGCUUACUAAACUGCCACUGACAUUGAUGCUCGAAAGUGUGGGGAUCAAACAGGAUUAGAUACCCUUGUAGUC